Molecule: ribosomal RNA, 468 nt
Filed under: uncultured bacterium
Lineage: Bacteria
Description: partial 16S ribosomal RNA
Rfam family: Bacterial small subunit ribosomal RNA
Source: RNAcentral
GAUGAACGCUGGCGGCGUGCUUAACACAUGCAAGUCGAACGGAAAGGCCCUGCUUUUGCUGGUUGCUCGAGUGGCGAACGGGUGAGUAACACGUGAGUAACCUGUCCUUGACUUUGGGAUAUCUUCAGGAAACUGGGGCUAAUACCGGAUAGGAGCUCUUGCUGCAUGGUGGGGGUUGGAAAGUUUCGGCGGUUGGGGAUGGACUCGCGGCUUAUCAGCUUGUUGGUGGGGUAGUGGCUUACCAAGGCUUUGACGGGUAGCCGGCCUGAGAGGGUGACCGGCCACAAGGGGACUAAGAUACGCCCCAGACGCCUACGGGAGGCAGCAGUGGGGAAUAUGGCACAAUAGGCGGGAGCCUGAUGCAACGGCGCCGCGUGCGGAAUGACGGCCUUCGAGUUGUAAACCGCUUUCGCCUGUGACGAAGCGUGAGUGACGGUAAUGAGUAAAGAAGCACCGGCUAACUACGUG